Molecule: transfer RNA, 68 nt
Filed under: Drupa morum
Lineage: Eukaryota; Metazoa; Mollusca; Gastropoda; Neogastropoda; Muricidae
Description: tRNA-Asn
Source: RNAcentral
UAAAUGGAGGCCAAAAAGAGGCGCCUAUCUGUUAAUUAGGAGAAUGUAAUGAACAGUUACCCAUUUAG